Molecule: ribosomal RNA, 118 nt
Filed under: uncultured bacterium
Lineage: Bacteria
Description: partial 16S ribosomal RNA
Rfam family: Bacterial small subunit ribosomal RNA
Source: RNAcentral
UACGUUCCCGGGCCUUGUACACACCGCCCGUCACACCACGAAAGCCGGCAACACCCGAAGCCGGUGGCCCAACCCGCAAGGGAGGGAGCCGUCGAAGGUGGGGUUGGUGAUUGGGGUG